UCUGGUCUAUAUUAUAAUAAUAGUUCUGCAUGUUUCGUUACAGAUCCCUAUAUGAUUUGUGUCUUCAGUAUGGCUGGGUUACACCCUCUCUCUCUAACGUCAAUCUUUUGCGGUUGGAAUCUAUUUUGGGCCGAAGGCACUGGAGUGGGACAACAUCUCGUGUGUCGACGGCGACCAGACCUACAAGAAAAAUCUCCGUCAGAGGUGACUUCGACGAAGAUUCUCCGACGCUCAAAUCAGAUUUUCUACAACAGAUGAGAAAGAGCGAACGUUUGUGAGGAAAAAAGAGGCAUACCUUUUUUGAGAUUCUCGAAUUAUCUUUUUAUAGGUGAGAUUGGAGUCUUGAAAAAAGAAGAGGCCUGAAAGAACCUUUUUGCCCCUCAUCAUAUUCUUGAGGACCAUGCCUAGCCCUUUAGUUUUUUGAGUUGAUGAGUGUUGCCACCUCACAAUAUGUGGGGGCCAUCUCCAUUAACGUUAUGAGUUGACAGUUAAGAGCUGAGAGUAUGGGGGGCUUGCCUAACUUAUGAUUACUCUUGUUUUUCAAUGGAUGACGUGAUGGGCUAUAAACAGACCUCAUGGGGGCUAAUAGUCGAAGCUGGUAAUAGAGGCCGAUGCCAAGAUCGGAGGAAAAGAUGAGGUCGGAUGCAUGCGGAGAGCACGGGCAUCCACGGGCCGA
RNAcentral lists this long non-coding RNA (676 nucleotides) under Elaeis guineensis (African oil palm). Its description in RNAcentral is "long non-coding RNA (EGUI_LNC033088)". Lineage: Eukaryota; Viridiplantae; Streptophyta; Magnoliopsida; Arecales; Arecaceae. The record is from RNAcentral.